UACGUAGGGUCCGAGCGUUGUCCGGAAUUACUGGGCGUAAAGCGCGCGUAGGCGGUGAUCUUUGUCAGAGGUGAAAUCCCGAGGCUCAACUUCGGAAUUGCCUUUGAAACGGGAUCGCUUGAGUCCGAGAGAGGAUGGCGGAAUUCCUAGUGUAGAGGUGAAAUUCGUAGAUAUUAGGAAGAACACCGGUGGCGAAGGCGGCCAUCUGGCUCGGUACUGACGCUCAGGCGCGAAAGCGUGGGGAGCAAACAGG
Molecule: ribosomal RNA, 253 nt
Filed under: uncultured bacterium
Lineage: Bacteria
Description: partial 16S ribosomal RNA
Rfam family: Bacterial small subunit ribosomal RNA
Source: RNAcentral